Molecule: long non-coding RNA, 7153 nt
Organism: Astatotilapia calliptera (eastern happy)
Lineage: Eukaryota; Metazoa; Chordata; Actinopteri; Cichliformes; Cichlidae
Source: Ensembl
CGUGUGUUAUUUUCAAUCUAAAGCUAAAAUAAACAAAUACAUGGGUUUGUUUUUGUUUAAAAAAGGGGACUACUUAAGCGGAUGAGUACCACAUUUUCUUGUAGCCGUAUCACUAUAACAAUAUAAAUAGCGCUGGUGACGCUGUUGCAACUUACACCGCGCUGAUGCUUUUCCGUCUUGUGGUUGGGCGUUGCAGGUUGACCGUAUCUUGUUUUUUCCUUUUUUGAUCUUUUUAAGUUCGGGUUUUAUUUUCGAAGCUGUAUAGCCUUGCUCUAUCUAGUCUAAUGUUUGCGACAAGUUUAAUUUUAGCGUCUUGAGCAUUAUUGAUCAUUAUUUUAAUGCAAGUACUUUAAAUCUCUAGAUGUAACGUGUUUUCGGUUUGUUAAACGCUUUUUAGUACUGCUUUAUUGCAAAUGAUUAAGAUUGUAGAAGAUAAACACAAAUUCUACUUAGUCAGAUCAAAGGCCUGAUUCUUGUUUUUUUGCCGAGGGCUGUUGAGCUAACGCUAGGCUUAGCCAGCCAAAUGUAUAAAUUUGUGCUAGCAUUGUCAGUUAUUCCGCAACAGUUAUUUUUUUUUUAGCUGUCAUGUUUAGCGUUUGUCUAGCGGUUAUCUUGCUUUUUAAAAAUAUAUUCCAAGUAACCAUUUUUGGUCAUACUAACAGCAGUUGGCUCGAGAUGGGAGCUGUAACGUAGAAACGUGUAAACGUCGUCUAUUGGCUAAUUCAAUUAACGUCAUGACGUAAGUAGACGGCAGUGGAAAAGGGAGUGGUCAGACUGACGGCCAUUAUCAGCCUUCACGUAGUGCUUUUCGAGAAGGUGUAGAAAGCUUUUAGCAACAAAAUGGCAGAGGAACAUUUUUCAUACUUUUGAAAUUAAUAAGGCAGUGAAGUUAAGUGCCUAAUUAGGUUCCUAAAGAGUACUGACUUUGCAAUGUGGUCUCUAAGAUUAGAUCACAAUGUAACUACAGUUGACGGAGUCUGUUAAAUAUUCGAAAAUUCGUUUUUAUUCCGAAGAAAGAAAAUAAGGAUGUCUUGUCGUGAUCAGACGCAGAUUAUGAGAAGUGCUAGUAAUUGUAUUUAAAACGGAGGGUUUAUGUAAGCUCGGAGGUGCUAUCGAACUACGAUAGACUAGACCAGCCUGUGUUUAUUUAAAAAAAAAAAAAAGCAUCAGGAACAGAUUAAGUAACAACAGCGUCAAAGAAGCAAUGAAGACGUUUUUAUUUUUGUUUGAUAGCUGUUACUUGGAUGAGGUCCUUACCUCUGUCUUUUCACUCUUAUCCCAUUGAUCGGGGAAGCAUUUUGCAAUGCGAAGUUUUUUAUUUAAUUUUUUUUAAUCGACAUUUUCGCUCAGUUUCCAUCAGUCAUUAGACUUGAAGUUUCAAGCUAUCAAUUCUGCAUUCAAAGAAAGAAGAUAGCAUAAGUCAAGUAAUGCUGAAGAAUGGAAGCUUAUCUUAGAGCUCUAGUAGUAGCUCAAGCAAUAUCAAGUUCAGAUUUAUGGACCUUGAGAAGAAAUUAAAAAAAAAAAAAAAAAAGGUUCAUCACUUAGGGAAGACAGAAGACUUUUUUUUGGGGGGGGAGAUGGACUGAGUUAUCACGGGGAGGAAUGGACUUAGUUAUUAGAUGAAGAUCGAAGGACGGCUUGGAGCGAGGUCGCGGGACACGGGGAGGACCACAGAGGAGCCAGCCAGGCAGGACAGGACCAGAGGGGCGUGGAGGGGAGGAGCAGAGGGGGCCAAGAGAGCAGGAAGCAUCAGGAGCUGUCGGCCAGUGUGUACGCCAGAGGGAGCCAGAAACGCAGGGCAGUGUAGAAGCGCAGUGACCAGCCCCGAUGCCGAUCCAGUGCUGAGAGGGUGGGACAAGGGCGUGCAGACUUCUAGCGUCACAAGUUUAAAGCGGGGCUUUGGUUUGUAUACUGGGUAGAGGUAUUUCUGUAACACUCAGUAUUUGGUUUUUGUACUUUCCAGAAACAUCUGUUGUCGAACAACUUCUCGCACAGCUCUCUCUUCCUCUUUUCAGGCAAGCCGUGUAAAGUGUUUUGUACCGUGGUCACCCCUCCUGUUGUGCGCUGAAAUGUGUGGUGGUGUCUGCUGUGAUGAAUGCCUUGGUAGUGUGCUGACGAGGAGCGUCUUAAUGGACUUCUCUACCCCCCUGCGAUCACAAGUAGUUUCCACAAGCGGAGGGAGAGGCAGUCCUUUUGUUGUUCGAUAGGUCUUCCCCCAGAGAAGUUUUCUGCAUUGGAGUGUGAAAGUGGAUGGUCUCCCAUACGGCCAAUUGUGUAUUCGGCAACUCUUCGGUACUUCAGCUGCGCCUCUUUGGUACAGAUCAGCUACAUCUACCUCUUAAACCCAAGCUGUGAGUUAAUGCAUGGAAUGUACAUGUGGGUGUAACUAUCCUGUACAUUAACUCAUCAUUACAUUUCAUAAGUAUACAGUAAUGACUUCACUCAAAAGGGAAUUUGCAUUGAAAUGGUAGUUGAUCCUGGUGGGUAAAUAUUUUUGGCUUAAGGGGAGGGGUGGGAUGGGGGGGUUGUUAAAACUUGUUUGGAGUCUUUCUUUUUACAGGCCUGGCCCCCUAACGCGAUCAUCGACAGAAUCCCCCCCCCCCCUUUCUAGCUGCUUGGUACAAGUUGAGCUCAUCCUAUAUACAGUAGUGAUAUGGAUCGAGAUCAUGCGCAUCCACUGUGCUUAAACGAGAUAUAGAAAGGUAUUUGGUGUUCACUGACUCAAUUAGUUUUCCUCUCACUUUUAUUUGGAAUAUGUUGUAAAUGGGCUUCCAUGAAUUUAUUUUUUUGGGAGGGGUGGGUUGUGGGGCGUUAAUCCGUCUCUUCCUAGACUUCACAGCUCCACAUUGCCCAGUGCACAUGGCUUGAAUAGGAAACAUCCAGGCGCAAGCAACAAGAUUCAACUGGACACUUAACAACGCAAGAUAGCAACCUCAAAAGUAGUCUUCUGAUGUAGUGAAGCUCCUUUCCCCCAGGGAGAGUGCGGUAAUACUUCUCCUUACUAGAAGUCAUUGUAAUUCUGUACAGGCUUUACGUUGCUUUGUGGGUUGGGAGGGGGCUGUGUAUUUUUUUUGACUCUUACAGAUUAACUUUUAAGGCCCAUCCUUCAAAAAGCUACGUCCAAGUCCAUGCCUACAGUUAAGGAAGGAGUCCCUCAUACUCAGGCCUGUGGUAUUUUAAAUGUUUCUUAUGGCAAAUGGCUUCAAUCUUUUGUGAAUUGUAUUUGUAGUCUUAAAGUUGGGCUUGUUAAAGCAGUUGCUGUAAUCCCAGUAGUGUCUUGUAGUUUUCUACAAUGUUACUUUAAUGCCAGUGUUGUAGUUUUCUACCAUAUUGUAUUAGGGCAGGGGUGUUGUGGGGAGAGGCUUUUCUUUGCAUUUUUUCAGUGUGCUGUGUCCUGUGUGCUUUCAAUACCCAAGACCAUCAGGAACUCCUAACUCAUUGUAUGUACAAGUUUCCUUGCGCAUCGAGCAUCACGUAAGGUGGCUAAAUGUGAUCAUUUACUUUAACAUUCAUUAUUUGGCUAAUUGCCUUCAUUGCAAUUCCUUUGCAAUUAGUUACUUUGCUUUGUAUCGCCAAUACAAUGAGUGAACUAUCUGUAAAGGAUUUUCUUACUGCAUAAUAAAUGCAUAGCUUGUUGUGAUUGAAUACAGUUUUGGUAUGCAUUUGUUCUUUUUGGGGGGGCUUGUGUGGGGGAGCUUUUCUUGUGCUUUUUCAGGUAUGACUAAAGCUUGGAGCUUUGUAGAGCACGGAUGUGACCUGGGCUCGAAUGACUUCUAUUUCAAAGUGGAAAGUGAAGGCAGAUAAGUUGAAUCCAUCAAAUAUUGAUGUCGAAAAACAGAAAAUUCUCAGCCCUAUAGGGGUCACUUAUCUUGACUGGACUUGCGUGUCCUCAUUCUUGAAAUGAAAGCAACUUGCUAUACUUGACAGUAGAAAUAGCACUCCUGUGCUUUCUUAACAAGUCACUUGUGAUAACGGGAAGAUUUGAUGGACCUUCAUUGAUUCUGACAUUAUCUGCAGUAAAGCAUUUGGGUAAGGAUAACAAUAGUCAGUUCUACGAUACUGUGGGGAGGGGUAUAGGGGUGUUUCUUUUCUGCCUCUUUGCUCUUACAGAACAAUCCAAAGGAAGAAAGCAGUGUACCUAGGAGAACACAAGAAUCACGCUGCGCUUUGAACUCCACCAACAUGCAGUUUGAACAAAAGGAGUCAGGUUUUUGAUGUUUACAUAUAUUAGAGCAUUUAGCCCUCAGCUGCUUGCCCUUGUGCAACUGUGCAAGUGGCAGGUUGGUCACCUUAGCAAUCGCGCAACUGUGCGAAGUUUCAAAAUUUAAGCAGCUGAGGAAAGCUGCGCAUGGUGCGGCUUAAUUUGGUCUGAAAUGCAGCGCAAAUGUGCUGCCUUAGUUUCUAUUGUGUUGUGGUUGGGCGUAUCCCUACACUUCUCUUCACAGAACUCACAGUGCAAGACUGGUUCAAGCACGAGUCAAGUCCUAACCCGGAGCAUGUAGUAAGCUGUUGGCUUUACUUGUCAAAACUUCUGCAAUGUUGUAGUUGACAAAAUGACAUCUUGGAACUGGCUUUAUGUUAACCUCAAAUCAUCAGUAACAAUGCUUUACUAGCUUAUUCCUCUUUGGCCUUGGGGCCCUAUUGCUUUGCAUCUUACAACCAUAAGAUGAGUAGAACCCAAAUCUUUUGAGUAUUGUGUGGUGGGUGUGUUGUGUAGAUCACUCUUUGUUUCAGAUCAUUCUCGUCUGUCCACUCCGAUCUCGCCUGCCUCUGAAUGCAAAGCCAUCUGUGGAAGCUGUCAGCGAUAUGAGUGUGGCCCCUGAAUGAAGUACCAAUCCCCUGUGCGCUUGAGCUUAAAUCUGAACCCCUGACGUCCUUCGCAGAAGCCCCCGCUCUCUGUGUUUGUGUGCCUUUUUCUUUCCCUUUGGUUUCUCAGGUCAAAUUACCCCAAAUUCUUAAUUUUUCAUCUGGGAUGGCCUAACCUGUGAUGGAACACUGAGAAUCCAGUCACAUUAAGAUCAAGAGCUGCAAGCUUGUUUUCGCUAAUACUGCAUCACUUCAGUCUCGUGGGUGCUAAGUUAAGUAAUUUCGGUUCCCUUGAUUUUUCUUUAACAUACCAUGGCUUUAAUGUGUAACUCAACAUGUUGCAUGCACAUCAGCUAUGCAUAACAUUUUAUUUGUAAAACAAUGUUCAUAAAGUCGUUGUCAAACAUUGCAGUAGUAUUAUGGUUAGGAGGGUCUGGGGGGGGGGCAAACACUCUUCUUUCUCCCUUUUUCAGAUUUCUCAUUCAGCUUAACUUGCUACUGAACCAGAGAACUUAAAGGUCUGCAGGGAGUCAUUGGAUCACUUGGUACUGCCAGCCUCUAGGGUUCAUUUAAUACAUUGAAGAGCUGAGCAUCAGAGGAAGAAUAGCUGUGGUAAAUGCUGCAUCAGCUGUGGUAAACUACAACAAUGUUGAUAAAUUCAAUCUCCCAUCAUAUUGGAUGAGUCUUGGUACAAGUGUGGGGUUUGGGUGGGGGGGGGGGGCUUAAAUUGUCUGUCUUUUUUCCCAUUGCAGCCAUAAAAUUGGCAAGAAAGCCUUCACUGUCAGUUGACCCGCGACUCGUGCUGAAUUGCAGAGGGGAAAAUCGCUUUGACAAGGGAUUCUGGUAUCGUGGUUUUAUUAUGGCUAAACGGAUUUCGUGGAAUAAUACACCAAUACAGUGUCGCUGUGGGGAAUUUUGGGGAUUGGGGAAACCAGACGUCUCUCUGUUCUAGUUUCAGCCUCGUGACCAAGAGAAUCCCCGUGGUGACAGCAUAAUUAGCAUCCAGGUGUCGGGUUUUCUUUUCCUGGAAGAACAUUUGUUCUUCCAAAUGUUCUUCCAGGUUUUGCUUUUGCCCUAACUAGCAAAAACAAAAAGCAAAAGACUCCGGUGAUGGCACUCCUGACUCUGUCGGGACGGGGUUCAAUUCCCUGCGGUGUCUUGCUUUUUUAAAAUAAGCUUUGUGGGGCUGAAAGUAUAUUUAAUAACACUUCAACUUUAAAAUGGCUUCCAUAAAAGGACAAUGUCUGGGUGGGGAAAAUAUUUGUAUGGAAAUGAUCAAUAAAACUUUAAAACAAUGUCUCUGUUUUUGUCUCUGUUCUAUCGAUAAUUACAUCAAUAUUCUGUAAAUGACUUGAUGAGGUGGGCAUAAUGCAUAAAGAUUACUUCACAUUGUAUUCCGGCUGUCCUGUGAUGAUUAGCAACAGCUUUAUAAACCUCAUUUUGCAGUCUGUGUCCUGGACACGACCCUUCUUGAGGUCCAUGUCACAUGAUAACAAAUGGAAGAGGUGAGGUCAGGAAAGAAGACCUGAGGGGAGCAGGCAUCCAACAAAAGUCAUCCUUGCUCUGGAUCCUCUUUAGUACAACAGCAUAAAACAGUCCAGCUAUUGCUGUAUGUUUUGAUCUCAGCUCUUCUAUGAGAUAACUAUGCAGAGUAUCAUGAACAAUAACAGCUAGCUCUGAAGUAGCAUUUUGCUAUACAUGUAUGUUAUUUUUGGGGGAGGAUGGGAGGGGGGGUUGUGGUGUUUUGUUUUUUUAAUGACACUGAAGAGCAGGAUGUCUGAUCAAGCUUAAAAGAACAUGAAUAAGGAAAACUUAUUUGUAGACUUCAGCUAUAUGUUUUGUUGUGGGAAGUGUCACAACCUCAUCAGGCAAAUGGCAAUAAAGGAAAGCGAUGUCAAACCUUAAACAGUUUAUUUAAUUAGUUGGAUAUGUGGGAAUGUGUCAUACAAUGCGCAAACAAAGAAGUUCAUAUUGUAUUCUUGGGUAUUGUAUUACUUGUGGCCUGUGACAAAACCAGUAGAUUCAAUGUUUCUUUCAUUGAAUCUACCAAAAGUAACAGUUUGAGAGAUAUAAAAUAUUAUUUUUGCAUUAACAAGGUAUUAUUUUAGGUUGCAUCAGUUUACCCUUCCUGUUAAAAAGGUGUUUUUCCUUCCCACCAUUGUUCGUAGCGGGACAUCUGAAGUUUAUAUAUAUUGUAGAGUCUCUACAUUACAAUAUAACGUGUAUUGAAGUGACUGUUUUUGUGAAUUGGUUCGUAUACAUAAAAUGUAGUUUAAGAAAAACAACUCACAAUGGUGUGAAUUGUGUGUAUCUUUAAAAUAUUUUUGUAAAAUGGACAAGUGGAGGA